Molecule: ribosomal RNA, 78 nt
Filed under: Pseudomonas sp. EBP:P6:LCS
Lineage: Bacteria; Pseudomonadati; Pseudomonadota; Gammaproteobacteria; Pseudomonadales; Pseudomonadaceae
Source: RNAcentral
CCGAAUUGCUUGACGAUCAUAGAGCGUUGGAACCACCUGAUCCCUNCCCGAACUCAGAAGUGAAACGACGCAUCGCCA